This 254-nucleotide ribosomal RNA is filed under the name uncultured bacterium. Its description in RNAcentral is "partial 16S ribosomal RNA". It matches the Rfam family "Bacterial small subunit ribosomal RNA", at positions 524 to 776 of the family's 1533-position model. The record is from RNAcentral.
GACAGAGGUGCCAAGCGUUAGGCGGAAUCACUGGGCUUAAAGCGCGUGUAGGCGGGAGGGCACGUCCGUCGCUGAAAUCCCCCGGCUCAACCGGGGAACGGGCGCGGAUACGACCUUCCUGGAGGGGCGUAGGGGGACCUGGAACUUCCGGUGGAGCGGUGAAAUGCGUUGAGAUCGGAAGGAACGCCCGCGGCGAAAGCGAGGUCCUGGACGCCUACUGACGCUGAGACGCGAAAGCCAGGGGAGCGAACGGG